UAUCUCUGUAGAGUCUGCAUAUCAAUAAGCGGAGGAAAAGAAACUAACUAGGAUUCCCUUAGUAACGGCGAGUGAAGCGGGAAGAGCUCAAAUUUGAAAUCUUCAAGGUUCUACCUUGACGAAUUGUAGUUUAAAGAAGUGUUUUCUGUUGGAGUUUUGGUAAAAGUUCUUUGGAAUAGGACAUCAUAGAGGGUGAGAAUCCCGUAUUUGACCAUUAUUUCCAGCUGUGUGAUACACUUUCAAAGAGUCGGAUUGUUUGGGAAUGCAGUCCAAAAUGGGUGGUAAAUUUCAUCUAAAGCUAAAUAUUGGCGAGAGACCGAUAGCGAACAAGUACCGUGAGGGAAAGAUGAAAAGAACUUUGAAAAGAGAGUUAAACAGUACGUGAAAUUGUCAAAAGGGAAGCGUUUGACACCAGUGUUGUUUUCUCGAAAAUCAAUUAAAAAAUGGCUUGAUUUUGUGUUGUAUUGACCUUAAAAGCUUUCUUCACUCUUUUCUUGUCUUUUUUAAUGCACUUUUCGUUUAACAAGUCAACAUCAGUUUCUUUUGUUGUAAAAGGGUCAUUGGAAGGUGGCUUUCUUUUCGGAGAAAGUGUUUAUAGCCUUUGGCCUCUGCAAUCGGAGAGAUUGAGGUCUGCAGCGUAGAUCCUUCGGGGUUAGAUACAUUUGUGCUAAGUUAUAGCCUUUCAUAGACAACUUGUUGACUGUGAUCAGUCAUGUAGCUUACUCGCUUAUGCUAUUUUACCUACGCUUAGGAUGUUGAUGUGAUACUGCGAGCA
This 775-nucleotide ribosomal RNA is filed under the name uncultured Neocallimastigales. Its description in RNAcentral is "partial large subunit ribosomal RNA". It matches the Rfam family "Eukaryotic large subunit ribosomal RNA", at positions 24 to 626 of the family's 3401-position model. The record is from RNAcentral. Lineage: Eukaryota; Fungi; Neocallimastigomycota; Neocallimastigomycetes; Neocallimastigales.